GUACCUACGGGGGGCAGCAGUGGGGAAUAUUGCACAAUGGGCGAAAGCCUGAUGCAGCGACGCCGCGUGAAGGAUGAAGUAUUUCGGUAUGUAAACUUCUAUCAGCAGGGAAGAAAAUGACGGUACCUGACUAAGAAGCCCCGGCUAACUACGUGCCAGCAGCCGCGGUAAUACGGAGGAUGCGAGCGUUAUCCGGAUUUAUUGGGUUUAAAGGGUGCGCAGGCGGCCUGUUAAGUCAGCGGUAAAAGCCCGGGGCUCAACCCCGGCGAGCCGUUGAACCUGGCGGGCUGGUGUUGGAGAGAAGU
Molecule: ribosomal RNA, 305 nt
Filed under: uncultured bacterium
Lineage: Bacteria
Description: bacterial SSU rRNA
Rfam family: Bacterial small subunit ribosomal RNA
Source: RNAcentral